GGGAAAGAUUUGAGGGUUCCAGAGGAGAUUUGAGGUGCUUGGGGAGGGAUUUGGGGGGUCUGGGGAGGAUUUGUGGGAGAUUUAGGAGGGUCUGGGGGGAUUUGGGGGGUCUGGGGGGAUUUGGGGGGUCUGGGGAAAUUCUGGGGGGCUCUGGGGAAAUUUUGGGGGGCUGGGGAGUGGUUUGGGGGGUUUGGGGAGAUACUUAAGGAGUUUGGGAGGAAUUUAGGGGGGUCUGGGGAAGAUUUGGGGGUUCCAGAGGGGAUUUGGGAUGCUUGGGGAGGGAUUUGGGGGGUCUGUGGGGGUUUGGGGAGGAUUUGGGGGAGAUUUAGGAGGGUCUGGGGGGAUUUUUGGGGGAUCAGGGGGGAAUUUUGGGGGGGUCUGGGGGGAUUUGGGGGGGUCUGGGGGGAUUUCGGGGAGUCUGGAGGGAAUUUGGGGGGGCUCUGGCGGGAUUUGGGGGGGUCUGGGGGGAUUUGGGGGGUCAGGGGGGAAUUUUGGGGGGCUCUGGGGGGGUUUUUGACUGAAGCCCCCCCAGGCAGGGCGGUUACGGCGAGCGCUUCCCCUCGGCCUCGUACCGGGACAAUUACGACAACUGAGCUCGGAGCCUCGUGCUGGAUUUUGGAGGGGACCCCGGAUUUUUGUAGCCCCAGGUGUGACAUUAAAGGACAGAGAUCCCCUCACCCCCUCCCCCACUCCGGGGGUCUCCGGCUGGAUUUCGGGGGGUCCUGGGGGAGGGGAAAAAAGGGGAGGAGUUGGGU
Molecule: long non-coding RNA, 755 nt
Filed under: Chloebia gouldiae (Gouldian finch)
Lineage: Eukaryota; Metazoa; Chordata; Aves; Passeriformes; Passeridae
Description: Erythrura gouldiae (Gouldian finch) lncRNA (ENSEGOG00005010341.1)
Source: RNAcentral